This 468-nucleotide ribosomal RNA is filed under the name uncultured bacterium. RNAcentral's name for it is "partial 16S ribosomal RNA". It matches the Rfam family "Bacterial small subunit ribosomal RNA", at positions 28 to 507 of the family's 1533-position model. The record is from RNAcentral.
GACGAACGCUGGCGGCGUGCUUAACACAUGCAAGUCGAACGGAAAGGCCCUGCUUUUGUGGGGUUCUCGAGUGGCGAACGGGUGAGUAACACGUGUGUAACCUGCCCUUGACUUUGGGAUAACUUCAGGAAACUGGGGCUAAUACCUGAUAGGAUCUCCUGCUGCAUGGUGGGGGUUGGAAAGUUUCGGCGGUUGGGGAUGGACUCGCGGCUUAUCAGCUUGUUGGUGGGGUAGUGGCUUACCAAGGCUUUGACGGGUAGCCGGCCUGAGAGGGUGACCGGCCACAUUGGGACUGAGAUACGGCACAGACUCCUACGGGAGGCAGCAGUGGGGAAUAUUGCACAAUGGGCGGAAGCCUGAUGCAGAAACGCCGCGUGCGGGAUGACGGCCUUCGGGUUGUAAACCGCUUUAGCCUGUGACGAAGAGUGAGUGACGGUAAUGGGUAAAGAAGCACCGGCUAACUACGUG